Molecule: long non-coding RNA, 2772 nt
Organism: Ictalurus punctatus (channel catfish)
Lineage: Eukaryota; Metazoa; Chordata; Actinopteri; Siluriformes; Ictaluridae
Exons: 3
Source: RefSeq, a predicted model, not a curated record
ACUGCACUAAUAGUUCGUAAACACCACACAGGAAGUAGGAAAAGAACUACAUUUCCCAUCUGCCCUGGCUGUCACAGGCUAAUAGCACCAGCUGCUUUCCAUUGCCCUAAGAAGUGAUUCUACUGCGGCAACGAGACCAAAUACAACGAAAGUAUUGAUGCUGUAAAAGAAGACGGAUCUUUUGGUUGGCUGGUUAAUGAUGACCACAAGCACCCAAAUGGCAGAAUGCAGAAGACUGAAGUGGAUGGAAGCCCACAUCUUGGUCUGUUUGCUUUAACAAACUUUAAAGAAGGUGAUGAAAUUACCUACAAUUACGGAGGAGGAGACUGGCCUUGGUGUAGCAAGGUAAAACAUCUACUCUGAAAAAGAGGAAGGCUCGGGAAGGAAAUGAGGUCCAUGCAGUGGAGAGACAUAUGAAGACCUUCAUCAUGUCAUGUCAUGUCCCAGGGAAGUUGGUCUGUGAAAACUGCAUUAGAUCUGAGUCUUUAUAUCUUAGAUAGAGACUGGCAAAGUGUCAAAUUCUAUGUCUAUAACUGCACUGUAGCUUACAAAAGAGAUAUAAACAAAGAUUAAAUAACACUUUGAUAGUAACACUGUACAUCUAUAUUACAGAUACUGUACAUCAUAACAUCUGUAGUAAUGCUUUAAUAAUAAGUUACAUUACACCUCUAGCCUUUUACUUUGUAAUGAAACACUCAGCAUUUACUUCAUCAUAAACUAAUCAGGAACAAAUCAGGCAUUUAAAAUAUCCAUUAGAAUCUUUACCUACACCGUUAUAUUGAAUUAGAUCAAAUUGGUUUGGGCCGCCUUCUUCCAGUGGGUCCUUAUGCAGGUGACUGACAAGUUCAUGAGUAAGCCUAUUGGGCAAUAAAAGCUUCAGUGUGCUACCCAUUUACAUGUUUAGACUGCCUGGAAUCAAAAUUAGCUACCUCAACAUACAUUAUUAAGUUGUUACUGUCACUUUUUAGCUUAGUCAGUUAAGUGGAUAUAGAAUAAAGAAAAAAAUAGUGUUUAUGACAUUUGGUUGUGUGUCUGUGUUUGGCUAGUAUCUUUAUUUUUCUCAAUAUGUUUAACUUUGAGCUGGCUAUAUGUAGUAGCAGAAGUGUUAUGUCAAACUUAAGUGAGUCCAAGUUCAUUCAUGGCACAUGUGAGCUUAGUAGUUGUGCACUUUAAUGGGCAAAUAUUUGUUGUCUUUUACAGUAAAGAAGCUCAAGACUCAAGUUGUCUUUAUAAUGUUGAAUAGACAGGGUUUUUUCAUCUUACUGACAAUUUUUCACUUGAUUAGAGAUCCAGACCAAUAAACAAAUACUUUGUGUAGCUAAAAUAUCAAAAGGAUGAGUGUCUUUGUCAUUUUGACUUCACCAAAAUGACUGGGGAUAGUGUUAAUUUGUGAUGCAUGCCUGUGAUAAAUAAGUGAGGUUCAGUACAGCUAGCACCUCUACUUUCUAUUCCACAAAAAAAAUUGUAUACUUUGGAGCAGAAAAUGAAAAGCUUCUUAGAAUUAUAGCCUCAAAACUAAUAAUAGCACUGGUACCACCUUCCUUAACAAGUUCCUAGGUUUCUCAAAGGGUUCCUCUGUUGGAAAUAGAAAGCUCCAAAAAAAAAUGUAGUCUGUUAUCUAUUACGUGCAGAUAUUGAAAUUUCUGUAAGAGAGCUUUUUGAUAACCAAACUUUCACUGAUUGCAUAUUUCACAAAUAAGGCUAAGAGUCCUUAGUAUAAACAAUUAAGAACAACUGUUCAAUAUAAUUUCAUGAGAAGCUCAAACCUUCAAAUAGAGAAAAUACACAUCAUAUCUGCUUUACAGACAGCCCUCUAAAUUGGACAUACUUAGUUUGUAAUUUUUUAUAAAUAAUUAGAGUUAAAUUGACAACUUUGUUUUUUAAAACCAUGUCCCCUUGUUGAACUACCUGAUCUGUGUGUAUGCAGAUUAACUAUGUAGUGAUGUCCCCUCUACAACAUGAAAACCAGUUAAUUUUCUGUGUAUGAAAAUUAACUAUCUAGUGAUGUCCCCACUACAACAUGAAAACCAGUUAAUUUGCUGUGCAUGCAAAUUAGGUCCCCAUUAAUGAUGAGUUCUUGUUAUGUCCACAUUAGGUGUGAAAAAACCAAGCACAGAAAUUUUGAGAUUUAAAUCCAGAAUUUGAGAUGAUGUGUGUUCUCAGGCUUAAAUUAUACAUGCCUGAUUCUUUUCAUAUCUGUAGGACCUCAGGAAAGUGGUGUCCCCACAAUACAUGGGUGGGACUACUGACCCCAGAAUGUUCUAAUUACAAGAAUGUGUGUGUGUGUGUGUGUGUGUGUGUGUGUGUGUGUUAAAGGUACAGGAGCAGUCUGGCUGUGCAGCUACAGUAAAUGUUCCUAAUAAUAAUAAUAGGACGUUAUUUAAAAGCUCAUACAGCUGAUGUUAUUUUUAUUUAGUAGUUAAUUUAACAUGCUAUGCUAACAUGUAAACAAUAAGAUAAUAUUACCUGACGUACAUUUUACACUCAAUAUUGACUGUUUCUGUUCUAUUUCACCAACAAAAAUAUUUUUGUUUUAUAGGUCCUGCUCCUUUUUCCUCCUAAUUCCCUCAUUUCUCCACGUUGGGAUUAAUAAAGUAUUAUCGUAUCUCAUCUUUUGUUCAAAUGGGAGAUUUCUUAUUUAUUUUAUUUAUUUUGUUUAUUUUUAAAUAGGAGACUUUUUAAUACUUUUAUUAAAAAAUGGCUUCAUGUUUCAAUUAUAAUGAAGCAUUUGUUCAAACAAAAAUGUUUUCAGUCCUUUAAGGAUCAUUGUAA